Parasteatoda tepidariorum (common house spider) is the source of this 428-nucleotide non-coding RNA. The record is from RefSeq and is a predicted model, not a curated record. NCBI's taxonomy places the organism in Eukaryota, Metazoa, Arthropoda, Arachnida, Araneae, Theridiidae.
UUUUGUAAAAAAAAAAAAAAAAUCUAAAUUUUAGGAUCGAAACGCAGUCGUCGACAAAAGGCAACUAUGGCCGGGAGGAAUAGUUCCAUAUGUUGAGGAUCCCGGUUUACAUAAAACCGUAUUUAAAUGGAUCCUUCAAAGAAGCUUCGAUGAAUAUCAUAAGAUGACCUGCAUAAAAUUUGUUCCUAGAACAACGGAAGCAGAUUAUAUUCGACUAUUCCCUGGACAAGGGUGUUACUCUCAUGUUGGGAAGACAGGAGGAGCUCAACCGGUUUCUUUGGGAGAACAUUGCGGUUGGGAAGGAACAAUUAUUCACGAACUGGGGCACGCCAUCGGCUUCUACCACGAGCAAAACAGAUCUGACAGGGAUCAGUAUAUAAGAAUAUUUUGGGAGAACAUAAAGACAGGUAUUCAUCUCUUUUCAAUAU